This 239-nucleotide unclassified non-coding RNA is filed under the name Hevea brasiliensis (rubber tree). Lineage: Eukaryota; Viridiplantae; Streptophyta; Magnoliopsida; Malpighiales; Euphorbiaceae. The record is from RNAcentral.
CCAGUGAAACAUGUCUUCAGCUACAGGACGCGUCAAAAGAAAGCAAUAAAAACCGGAGCCUUUUUUUUUUCCUGUACUCCUGUCCAACGAGGAGCACUGUGUCUCAAAGCUAUAAUCUCUAUGCAAACCCCCAAACCCCAAUUAACAACCACCAGAGCCACAGAGCCAGGCUGAGAUAGCAGUGCCAACAGCAAAUUUAUCAAUAAAUACUGAAAUUCACCAGAAGGAUGCAAUUAGAC